UACAGAGGGUGCGAGCGUUGUCCGGAAUCACUGGGCGUAAAGGGCGCGUAGGUGGCGGCAUAAGGCCGUGGUGAAAGUCUGGGGCUCAACCCCAGAUCGGCCGCGGCGACUGUGUUGCUAGGGCACCGUAGAGGCAGAUGGAAUUCCCGGUGUAGCGGUGGAAUGCGUAGAGAUCGGGAGGAACACCAGUGGCGAAGGCGGCUUCCUGGCCUGUUCUUGACGCUGAGGCGCGAAAGCUAGGGGAGCAAACGGG
RNAcentral lists this ribosomal RNA (253 nucleotides) under uncultured bacterium. RNAcentral describes it as "partial 16S ribosomal RNA". It matches the Rfam family "Bacterial small subunit ribosomal RNA", at positions 524 to 776 of the family's 1533-position model. The record is from RNAcentral.